RNAcentral lists this ribosomal RNA (395 nucleotides) under uncultured bacterium. RNAcentral describes it as "bacterial SSU rRNA". It matches the Rfam family "Bacterial small subunit ribosomal RNA", at positions 505 to 898 of the family's 1533-position model. The record is from RNAcentral.
GUGCCAGCCGCCGCGGUAAGACAGAGGGUGCAAACGUUGUUCGGAAUUACUGGGCGUAAAGCGCGUGUAGGCUGCUUCGCAAGUCGGAUGUGAAAGCCCUGGGCUCAACCUAGGAAGUGCAUUCGAAACUGCGAAGCUUGAGUUCUGGAGAGGGUCGCGGAAUUCUCGGUGUAGAGGUGAAAUUCGUAGAUAUCGAGAGGAACACCGGUGGCGAAGGCGGCGACCUGGACAGUGACUGACGCUGAGACGCGAAAGCGUGGGGAGCAAACAGGAUUAGAUACCCUGGUAGUCCACGCCGUAAACGAUGGGUGCUAGGUGUCGCGGGCUUUGACCCCUGCGGUGCCGUAGCUAACGCAUUAAGCACCCCGCCUGGGGAGUACGGCCGCAAGGCUAAA